CUGCCUGCUGCAUAGCUGCUACUUCUGCUGGUUCUCUUCCUGCUCACACUCCUCCGGAGCAGUUUGGGAGAAGAACGCUAGUUUCUGUGAAAAGCUAAGGACACUGGUCUCUGAGGCGAAGGUCCGUGUUGUUUCCCAGCAGAGCUUUGGCUGAACAUGCCAUGUGGAUCCUCAUGUCUGCUUCUGCACACUGUGCACAAUGCACUGCGUCAGGGAUGUGCAGGCCUGGAUCCGAGCCUGGAGGAGGAGCCCGAGCGACAAGAAGAGUUCUCUGCCUUCCAAGCUCCUCCCACCACAAGCCCACCGCAGGGACCCGGGCCCAGGGCUGUGCGCUCAGCAGCGGAGCAGCUGCGUGUCGCUCGGGCCCUGGGCCCAGACCGCAGCCCAGGGAGCUGUGCCUGAGUCCGGAUGCCACACCACUCGCAGCGCUGUGCUUAGCUAUCCAUGCGUUUCUGUUGUGCUGCUGGGGAUUGAGCUUGGAACUGUACCGCAAAAGGGAACUUUAAAAGCUAGAUGCUUUGUUCUUUUAGAGAUAAGCGGCGCCUCCAGAUCUCCCCAAGAGCACAUGGCCGACACCCCGUCCUGUCCUCAGCCCGGGUGAACAGCAGAAGGACCUGGCUCCUCCCGUGCACACACAGCGGGAAGACCCACAACAGAACGGCUCUCAUUUGGAGAAAUGGCGAGCUCCGGCACUUCCCCUGAGGAAGCUAACUGGAACUGUCGCAGACCCAUCGCACCCGAAAUUCCUCUGGAACUCGGACGUCCAUAGAGUGAGCCAGGCCUCUCGGCAGCUGCAGUGGCUCUACUCACUGUGUUGAUAAACUGGAGAUUGCCGGUGUCUGAUUGCUGCCUGGUGAGAGCUCCGGAUUCACUUGAACCCUAAGCAGGAAAUGUUACUGCGCCUCAUCCACCCUCCUCUUAACCGAAGAACCCUUUUCCGGGGGGGGGGGGGAAACGCGCCUUAUGAG
Molecule: long non-coding RNA, 968 nt
Filed under: Heterocephalus glaber (naked mole-rat)
Lineage: Eukaryota; Metazoa; Chordata; Mammalia; Rodentia; Bathyergidae
Description: lncRNA (ENSHGLG00000046621.1)
Source: RNAcentral